AUUUUACUGCCAUUUCUCAUAAUCCUAUGGCAAAUUCUUUGAAACACUUAAUUCAAGCCAUGAAAAUUCAUCAAAAUCCAAAUAUUGGGUUUUUUGAAAGAUUAAUUUACAGGCAAGAAUUAAACACUAUUCAUUAAAAUAGAUAUUCAUGUUUGAUUCAUGAUCUAAAUUAGUCCCUCAACUUCUGUUGUCCUCAUAUUAGCCCAGGAGAUGUCCAGAUUCAUCCG
Molecule: unclassified non-coding RNA, 227 nt
Filed under: Hevea brasiliensis (rubber tree)
Lineage: Eukaryota; Viridiplantae; Streptophyta; Magnoliopsida; Malpighiales; Euphorbiaceae
Source: RNAcentral